UACAGAGGUCUCAAGCGUUGUUCGGAUUCAUUGGGCGUAAAGGGUGCGUAGGCGGCGCGGUAAGUCGGGUGUGAAAUCUUGGAGCUUAACUCCGAAACUGCAUUCGAUACUGCCGUGCUUGAGGACUGGAGAGGAGACUGGAAUUUACGGUGUAGCGGUGAAAUGCGUAGAUAAUCGUAAGGAAGACCAGUGGCGAAGGCGGGUCUCUGGACAGUUCCUGACGCUGAGGCACGAAGGCCAGGGGAGCAAACGGG
This 254-nucleotide ribosomal RNA is filed under the name uncultured bacterium. RNAcentral describes it as "partial 16S ribosomal RNA". It matches the Rfam family "Bacterial small subunit ribosomal RNA", at positions 524 to 776 of the family's 1533-position model. The record is from RNAcentral.